CCUACGGGGGGCUGCAGUGGGGAAUAUUGGACAAUGGGGGCAACCCUGAUCCAGCCAUGCCGCGUGUGUGAAGAAGGCCCUCGGGUUGUAAAGCACUUUCAGUGAGGAAGAACGCCUGGUGGUUAAUACCCAUCAGUAAAGACAUCACUCACAGAAGAAGCACCGGCUAACUCCGUGCCAGCAGCCGCGGUAAUACGGAGGGUGCGAGCGUUAAUCGGAAUUACUGGGCGUAAAGCGCGCGUAGGUGGCUUGAUAAGCCGGUUGUGAAAGCCCCGGGCUCAACCUGGGAACGGCAUCCGGAACUGUCAAGCUAGAGUGCAGGAGAGGAAGGUAGAAUUCCCGGUGUAGCGGUGAAAUGCGUAGAGAUCGGGAGGAAUACCAGUGGCGAAGGCGGCCUUCUGGACUGACACUGACACUGAGGUGCGAAAGCGUGGGUAGCAAACAGGAUUAGAUACCCUUGUAGUC
This 465-nucleotide ribosomal RNA is filed under the name Vreelandella stevensii. RNAcentral describes it as "partial 16S ribosomal RNA". It matches the Rfam family "Bacterial small subunit ribosomal RNA", at positions 338 to 795 of the family's 1533-position model. Lineage: Bacteria; Pseudomonadati; Pseudomonadota; Gammaproteobacteria; Oceanospirillales; Halomonadaceae. The record is from RNAcentral.